RNAcentral lists this ribosomal RNA (406 nucleotides) under uncultured bacterium. RNAcentral describes it as "partial 16S ribosomal RNA". It matches the Rfam family "Bacterial small subunit ribosomal RNA", at positions 28 to 526 of the family's 1533-position model. The record is from RNAcentral.
GACGAACGCUGGCGGCGCGCUUAACACAUGCAAGUCGAGCGAAGCGGCGGACGGGUGAGCAACACGUGAGUAACCUGCCUUAGACAUUGGGAUAGCCUCGGGAAACCGGGAUUAAUACCAAAUGGUCUAAGAUGGACUUGCGUCCCAUUAGCUAGUUGGUUUGGAACGGCUCACCAAGGCGACGAUGGGUAGCCGGCCUGAGAGGGUGAACGGCGACAUUGGAACUGAGAAACGGUCCAAACUCUGCGGGAGGCAGUGGUGGGGAAUAUUGCACAAUGGAGGGAACUCUGAUGCAGCGAGGCCGCGUGAACGAAGAAGGCUUGCGAGUCGUAAAGUUCUUUUAUAUGGGAAGCGGUACCAUAAGAAAAAGCCCCGGCUAACUACGUGCCAGCAGCCGCGGUAAUAC